Daucus carota subsp. sativus is the source of this 1377-nucleotide long non-coding RNA. RefSeq lists it as uncharacterized. The record is from RefSeq and is a predicted model, not a curated record. The transcript is spliced from 4 exons. Lineage: Eukaryota; Viridiplantae; Streptophyta; Magnoliopsida; Apiales; Apiaceae.
UUAAAUUAAAACUAAAACUAAUUCUCUCGGCUCACUACUCUCGCUCUAUCUCGCAUCUCUCUCUCACUCUCUAUCUCCCAUCUCUCAAAUUUCAGAUCUCUCAUUCAUCUCUCCCAUCUCAUUCUUUCAUUCCUUUCAUCUCUCUCAUCUCACUCUUUCAUCUCUCAAAACUUGUCUCGGAGCUUAUCUUGCUGCUUAUACAAGGAAAGGGUCCGACGAUUUUAUAGCAGAAGCUUGUCUCGGAGUUUUAGUUCUUGUCUCAAGGCUCAGUAGCUUUCUCCGCAUAGCCUGAAUUUGGUCUGACUAUAACAUUAUGAGCUAAUAUAUCUACACUAACAAAAGCAAAGGAGAAGGAGAUGGAUUAAUCUUGGAAAAAUAUAAGAUCAAGUGAUUAACUCUCUAUAUCAGCAGCCUCGCCAUCAAGAGAAACAAAGGUCGGUGAAGCAGAGGUAGCGCAGAGCAAGCAAGAUUGUAAUGUAUCCAGUUUGACAGAUGCCACACCUGAUAAUACUGCUGAAGAUGUUUUUGACCAGCCCUCUAGUACCCCUCGAUAUACCUAUCACAGUGAAGAUGAAACCCGAGAAUUAUCAAGUAUAAAUUUUCAAUAUAAUGCUCCUCCAUCAACACCUCAGUGGGGAAGGGAGAUCCAAGAACUUGCAGCCACCAAAAUCCAGUUAGCCUUUUGGGGUUGUCUUGAAAGAAAAGCUUUAUGGGCAUUGAAGGGAAUUGUUAGGCUUCAAGCUAUUAUCAGAUGUGUACUUGUUCGGCGCCAGGCUAUCACCACGCUGAAUCAGUUGCAAUCAGUUGUAAAUAUUGAUUCACAGGAACGUGCAAAACGUGGCCAAAUUAAUGGCAGAUAGCAAUUCUUAUUCUCAAGGAAAUAAAGAGCCAGUAGAAUUUAAAGGCAAGGACAUUAAGGUCGGCAAAACUAGAGCAGAACAAAAUAGAUGGAAGAUGGAGAUACUGGCUAGAACAACGGGUGGAUUCUAGGUUAGCUAAAACGGAGGAUCUACAAAACCUUGUAUCAGUUUUCUCAAUGAGGAAUAAAAAUGAAGACAAUGAACCUGGGGUAAAACAAAUGAGGUCAAGAAAUGUUCAUAAGCAAUCUCACAAUGCAGAACAUGAAAUGCCAACAAGAAGAUCAAUACAUCAUCGAUCAGAAGCAACAUUCAACAGGAGAUGCAUGGAUAUUCUACUAGAGGGGGAUCUCCUGUUGUCACUGAUUAACUUUUAUUUAGGUUGUAAUUGCUUAACUUUUAUUUAGGUUGCAUAUUAAUUAUGAUAAAUUUGUAUUUUGGAGAAGUUGGAGCAUCUAAUUGUGUUUUGAAGAAACUGAUAUAGUUUGGAGUUGUGGAAUUAAUUGUUAGUUUUUGAGAA